Zingiber officinale is the source of this 2069-nucleotide long non-coding RNA. RefSeq lists it as uncharacterized. The transcript has 3 exons. The record is from RefSeq and is a predicted model, not a curated record. NCBI's taxonomy places the organism in Eukaryota, Viridiplantae, Streptophyta, Magnoliopsida, Zingiberales, Zingiberaceae.
GAAGUCGAUCUAGGGUUUGAUUUAAUAUUUCCUGAGUUAUAAAAUCCCUAAUCGCCGAACCCUUCCUUCUCAAAACCCCUCACGUGGCCGAUUCUCUUCGCGUCGAACCACCACCAAGCUUCUUCUCCCGAGCCCCUUGUGACAUCGCCGGCUUCAUCCUUCCCCUCUCCCUUGUUCCCAAGCCCUCACCCUCACCGGCCUUCUUUCUCUCACGCAAGCACCAGUCGGUUGCCCUCUUGCGACUGCCUCACCAAAACCGUCGAGCCACAGCCGCCGGUCUUCUUCCAUCCUCGCGCGCGAUCACCACAGCAGCCGGGUUCUCCUCCUCACGCGGACACCACAGCCGUCGCAACCACCAUCAUUGAUCCUCUUCCCUCAAUUGAAGUCACAGCCGCCGAUCCUUUCCUCUCCGAGUCAUGCCCUAACUGAUCCGGCAGGUAACAGUAGAUGAUUGAGAAGUUGCUUGGAGAGUCCCAGCUGUCAGUCCCACAUCACACUCAAGGACAGUCCCUUUUCGGUUUUACUUCUGUUUAGUGGCAUCAAAGGAUCUUGGAUUUGGAUCUAUUCGAACCGAAUUUGUGUUCGAAUCGGAGUUUAGAUGAGAAGAUCAAGUUAUGGAGCAUUAUGGAUCGUUCAUCGAAGAUUGGACAGAUCUGAAUCAUCCAGUGAAGAUCUGGUCAAUCCGACCUAAGGGAGAGUAGAUCCAGACCCUAGAUCAAGAUCAGCACCUUCGGAUCAGAUUUUUAGAGACUUUUCACCAUUGAUCAAGCUCCAAAUCAAUCACAGCCGUCCAUUCAGAUCUAGAUCAGAUUCAAAAGAGAAGCUACAGUGCUUCGUGUGCUUCGUCGACUCCUUCGUGUAGUCUUGCGUUGUGCGAGUGCCACCGAUGGUUUCCAACCCCGUUCUUUCUCCGACCAACUCUUCCGACGACAUCUUCAUUGUAGAGCUUCACGACAUCAUCAUCCCGAUCAUCUGGAUCCAUCGGAGGGUGUUCCCUCUGGCGGAAUUCUUCUCUCGACAAGCCCCUCUGUUCACCUCAGAUUUGGAGGUGUUCCUCCAAAUCUGAGCUCCGAUUCCCAUCAGCAACGUUCGGCGGUGGUCCUCCGGCGUCACUAAGCUUCAUCCAACCACAAUCCACAAUCCGUAGCUUCUCUUCCAGAUUCAAAGGUCAAGGUUUGCAGAAAUCUAGAUUUUCAUCACUUGAGUGGGUUUAGGGGUGUUCUAGCUCGUCGGAGGUGGUCCGCCUGCGUUGUUCAGCAUACCUUGAACUGAGAAGCAGCUGAGAUGCUUCAUUGAGCUCCAGAGUUGGGUGUUCUCGACUUCGACACUCUUGUGUGACGGCAAGAGUGUGUUGCUUGAUAGAUUGAUUGUGAAAAUGGAUUGGUUUACCAUUUUAGUUCCUUUUAUUCUUGUUUUGUAGCUUGGCACAGAUUUAUUUUGAUGUUGUUAUGUUUUUAGUAGUAGUUUAGCAUUUCAUCACCUUGUUAAAGCUUAGUUUAAGUCUUAUUUGGUGCUCAUUUAAUUGUUAGGUUGUUAAGUUCAAGCUAGGGUUUUAAUUGGUGCUAUAGAUCAGAUUUAAUUGUAUUUCAUUAUUUCAUAUUUCGUUUAAGUGUGUUGAUGGUUUAAUUAUAAUGUAGGGUGACAAUGCAUUAUGGUUUGAUUAUUGGCACAUAGUUAGGUUUCACUCUUGCUUUAGAUUAAUUUCUUUAUUGCUGUGCUUCACUUUUGUUAGACUUAGAUUCAAGUUUAAACCCCCAUUUUCAUGUUAAAAACCCAAAAAAUAGGAAUAAAAUAAAAUCCUAGAUUACAUCCUACUGUUGGUUCCUCAAGGUUCGAUCCUGGGCUCGUUAUUACAACAUUAUUGUGAAAUUAAGGGGUUCAGUGUAUAUUCAUUAUUAAUAUGAUAAGCCCAUUCAUGACAAUUUAAUAUAUAUUUAGGCUAUUAUCAAAUUUUGACGUCGUUGCCGGGGAAACUUGUAGCGGUGUUUUUAGGAUUGUUGUUUGAUUGCUUUCAUGAUUAUAUAUCCAUGUGUUUGAUUUUAUUUGUUCUUGAGUCUUCUAAUUUUAUU